CAAAUUACUCUCCUCUCGACUUCCACCUCUCUACGUUCGGUGCACGAGAUUGAGUGAGAACGUGUACUUCGGUUUCUCUUCGAAAAACAAAAGGAAACAUUUGAUUUUGUUUAUGGGACCUGCUCUACUCCAUUUCCACAAAUAUGCCCUUUAAAACGACGGUGGAUUUGACUUUAAUUCCGGAACUGAUAGCCCUCUUCUUUUUAUUCGGAUCGGUAUUUAUUUUCUCCCUAUUGCAAAUGACUUCUAUAUUAUUUCGUUGGCCUUUCCGAAUCAUGCCAGAGAUGGGACGAGUAGAAGGCAUACCUGAUAUGCAAAUGUAACCACACCUAACUCGGGGCCUCAGUCACAGCUAAGACCAGAAUCCAGCCGGACUCAGGCAUGGAAGUGACGGAACUGCCUCUGCGCUACAAUCGGUUAUCAUUUCGGAACAUCUUGGUAAUUAGUUCCUUCCACGGCACCUUCGCUUAAAAGGCAAGUCUUGAGAAAUGGAACCAAUUUAUAAAAUGUGUAAUGUGUUUUAAAAGGACUGUAUUGGUUUUGACGGAAAAUGAAAUUAGAAUUAUACCUGAAGAAAAA
This is a non-coding RNA of Bemisia tabaci, 579 nucleotides long. NCBI's taxonomy places the organism in Eukaryota, Metazoa, Arthropoda, Insecta, Hemiptera, Aleyrodidae. The record is from RefSeq and is a predicted model, not a curated record.